GUAGGUAGCUUAACCUCCGGGAGGGCGCUUACCACUUUGUGAUUCAUGACUGGGGUGAAGUCGUAACAAGGUAACCGUAGGGGAACCUGCGGUUGGAUCACCUCCUUA
RNAcentral lists this ribosomal RNA (108 nucleotides) under Morganella morganii subsp. morganii. RNAcentral describes it as "partial 16S ribosomal RNA". It matches the Rfam family "Bacterial small subunit ribosomal RNA", at positions 1426 to 1533 of the family's 1533-position model. The record is from RNAcentral. Lineage: Bacteria; Pseudomonadati; Pseudomonadota; Gammaproteobacteria; Enterobacterales; Morganellaceae.